AAGUUGGUCAUUAUACGUUGUUUAAAAAUAUCAAACUUAUGAAAAAUAUCAAAUCUCAUGAAAUUAGUUUGAUUGGAUAGAUAAAUAUGAGAUUCUAUAGCACUGAAUCAGAGGUGCCUUCCUUAUGCAUUGACAUUUGAAACCUGUCGUCUGAAAACCAUACAGGUAGCAGAUCAUUUGGAAUUUGUUGUUACAUCUACAUGACACAUGCUAGAUAUUAAAUUAUUAUCUGUUUGCAGUCCAAGCAAGGAUGCACGAAAAGUGAAGCUCGUGUUGAUUUUGUAUCUACCGGUUGCGGCCAACUUUUGUGUGCACUUCAACUCCAACAAGAAGAGUCCGAUGCAUGGGACCUAGAGUUUGCAUCGACCUCAACCUGCAAACUGUGUAGCAUGAAUAAAUACCUGAUGUUAGGAUAGAUUAGUACUUGGAUAUAACCAUGGUGAUUGAAUGGAUUGUGAUGUUGAUGAUUAAAA
Panicum virgatum (switchgrass) is the source of this 473-nucleotide long non-coding RNA. RefSeq lists it as uncharacterized. The transcript has 2 exons. The record is from RefSeq and is a predicted model, not a curated record. Lineage: Eukaryota; Viridiplantae; Streptophyta; Magnoliopsida; Poales; Poaceae.